CAUGCAAGUCGAGGGGUAGCAGGGAGCUUGCUCCGCUGACGACCGGCGAACGGGUGCGUAACGCGUAUAGAAUCUACCUCUUACUAAGGGAUAGCCCAGAGAAAUUUGGAUUAAUAUCUUAUAGUAUACAGACCUGGCAUCAGGAUUGUAUUAAAGGUUACGGUAAGAGAUGACUAUGCGUCCUAUUAGCUAGAUGGUGUGGUAACGGCACACCAUGGCUACGAUAGGUAGGGGCCCUGAGAGGGGGAUCCCCCACACUGGUACUGAGACACGGACCAGACUCCUACGGGAGGCAGCAGUGAGGAAUAUUGGACAAUGGAGGCAACUCUGAUCCAGCCAUGCCGCGUGCAGGAAGACUGCCCUAUGGGUUGUAAACUGCUUUUAUACAGGAAGAAACACUCUCACGUGUGAGAGCUUGACGGUACUGUAAGAAUAAGGAUCGGCUAACUCCGUGCCAGCAGCCGCGGUAAUACGGAGGAUCCAAGCGUUAUCCGGAAUCAUUGGGUUUAAAGGGUCCGUAGGUGGAUGAUUAAGUCAGAGGUGAAAUCCUGCAGCUCAACUGUAGAAUUGCCCUUGAUACUGGUUGUCUUGAGUUAUUAUG
Molecule: ribosomal RNA, 601 nt
Filed under: Olleya marilimosa
Lineage: Bacteria; Pseudomonadati; Bacteroidota; Flavobacteriia; Flavobacteriales; Flavobacteriaceae
Description: bacterial SSU rRNA
Rfam family: Bacterial small subunit ribosomal RNA
Source: RNAcentral